Non-coding RNA from Chroicocephalus ridibundus (black-headed gull), 468 nucleotides. The record is from the annotation of a RefSeq genome assembly. Lineage: Eukaryota; Metazoa; Chordata; Aves; Charadriiformes; Laridae.
CAACCAUUAUUUCCCCAAACCUCCACCAAUGUUGACCCAAAACUUCCAUGGUCUUGGCCAAUAUCUCGACCGCUUUUUCCCUGGAAAAAGCUGAUGGAGUCCGGAGGGGGCCUCCAGACACCCGGGGGGUCCCUCACCCUCUGCUGCAAGGCCUCCGGCUUCACCUUCAGCAGCUUCGCCAUGGACUGGGUGCGACAGGCCCCCGGGAAGGGGCUGGAGUGGGUCGCAGGUAUUAGCUAUGGUGGUGGUACCACAAGCUACGCGCUGUUGGUGCAGGGGCGCUUCACCAUCUCCAAGGACGACUCCCAGAGCACGCUCACGCUGCAGAUGAACAGCCUCCGGGACGACGACACGGCCACCUACUACUGCGCGAAAUGUUAUGCUGGUGGUGGUGGCACCAACCCCUUCUCCAUGGAACAACAUCCCUGUGCUGUGUCCCCAAAUCAACCCUUCUUGGCCCGAAUCUGA